This 554-nucleotide ribosomal RNA is filed under the name uncultured Pantoea sp. RNAcentral describes it as "bacterial SSU rRNA". It matches the Rfam family "Bacterial small subunit ribosomal RNA", at positions 771 to 1326 of the family's 1533-position model. The record is from RNAcentral. Lineage: Bacteria; Pseudomonadati; Pseudomonadota; Gammaproteobacteria; Enterobacterales; Erwiniaceae.
AACAGGAUUAGAUACCCUUAGUCACGCCGUAAAAUGAUGUCGACUGGAGGUUGUUCCCUUGAGGAGUGGCUUCCGGAGCUAACGCGUUAAGUCGACCGCCUGGGGAGUACGGGCCGCAAGGUUACAACUCAAAUGAAUUAGACGGGGGCCCGCACAAGCGGUGGAGCAUGUGGUUUAAUUCGAUGCAACGCGAAGAACCUUACCUACUCUUGACAUCCAGCGAACUUUCCAGAGAUGGAUUGGUGCCUUCGGGAACGCUGAGACAGGUGCUGCAUGGCUGUCGUCAGCUCGUGUUGUGAAAUGUUGGGUUAAGUCCCGCAACGAGCGCAACCCUUAUCCUUUGUUGCCAGCGAUUCGGUCGGGAACUCAAAGGAGACUGCUGGUGAUAAACCGGAGGAAGGUGGGGAUGACGUCAAGUCAUCAUGGCCCUUACGAGUAGGGCUACACACGUGCUACAAUGGCGCAUACAAAGAGAAGCGACCUCGCGAGAGCAAGCGGACCUCACAAAGUGCGUCGUAGUCCGGAUCGGAGUCUGCAACUCGACUCCGUGAAGU